GACGAGGCACUACGGUGCUGAAGCAACAAAUGCCCUGCUUCCAGGAAAAGCCUCUAAGCAUCAGGUAACAUCAAAUCGUACCCCAAACCGACACAGGUGGUCAGGUAGAGAAUACCAAGGCGCUUGAGAGAACUCGGGUGAAGGAACUAGGCAAAAUGGUGCCGUAACUUCGGGAGAAGGCACGCUGACACGUAGGUGAAGUGAUUUACUCAUGGAGCUGAAGUCAGUCGAAGAUACCAGCUGGCUGCAACUGUUUAUUAAAAACACAGCACUGUGCAAACACGAAAGUGGACGUAUACGGUGUGACGCCUGCCCGGUGCCGGAAGGUUAAUUGAUGGGGUCAGCGCAAGCGAAGCUCCUGAUCGAAGCCCCGGUAAACGGCGGCCGUAACUAUAACGGUCCUAAGGUAGCGAAAUUCCUUGUCGGGUAAGUUCCGACCUGCACGAAUGGCGUAAUGAUGGCCAGGCUGUCUCCACCCGAGACUCAGUGAAAUUGAACUCGCUGUGAAGAUGCAGUGUACCCGCGGCAAGACGGAAAGACCCCGUGAACCUUUACUAUAGCUUGACACUGAACAUUGAGCCUUGAUGUGUAGGAUAGGUGGGAGGCUUUGAAGUGUGGACGCCAGUCUGCAUGGAGCCGACCUUGAAAUACCACCCUUUAAUGUUUGAUGUUCUAACGUGGACCCGUAAUCCGGGUUGCGGACAGUGUCUGGUGGGUAGUUUGACUGGGGCGGUCUCCUCCUAAAGAGUAACGGAGGAGCACGAAGGUUGGCUAAUCCUGGUCGGACAUCAGGAGGUUAGUGCAAUGGCAUAAGCCAGCUUGACUGCGAGCGUGACGGCGCGAGCAGGUGCGAAAGCAGGUCAUAGUGAUCCGGUGGUUCUGAAUGGAAGGGCCAUCGCUCAACGGAUAAAAGGUACUCCGGGGAUAACAGGCUGAUACCGCCCAAGAGUUCAUAUCGACGGCGGUGUUUGGCACCUCGAUGUCGGCUCAUCACAUCCUGGGGCUGAAGUAGGUCCCAAGGGUAUGGCUGUUCGCCAUUUAAAGUGGUACGCGAGCUGGGUUUAGAACGUCGUGAGACAGUUCGGUCCCUAUCUGCCGUGGGCGCUGGAGAACUGAGGGGGGCUGCUCCUAGUACGAGAGGACCGGAGUGGACGCAUCACUGGUGUUCGGGUUGUCAUGCCAAUGGCACUGCCCGGUAGCUAAAUGCGGAAGAGAUAAGUGCUGAAAGCAUCUAAGCACGAAACUUGCCCCGAGAUGAGUUCUCCCUGAGACUUAAAGUCUCCUGAAGGAACGUUGAAGACGACGACGUUGAUAGGCCGGGUGUGUAAGCGCAGCGAUGCGUUGAGCUAACCGGUACUAAUGAACCGUGAGGCUUAACCUU
RNAcentral lists this ribosomal RNA (1381 nucleotides) under Salmonella enterica. RNAcentral describes it as "partial 23S ribosomal RNA". It matches the Rfam family "Bacterial large subunit ribosomal RNA", at positions 1568 to 2925 of the family's 2925-position model. Lineage: Bacteria; Pseudomonadati; Pseudomonadota; Gammaproteobacteria; Enterobacterales; Enterobacteriaceae. The record is from RNAcentral. RNAcentral also lists the same sequence under 1 other name.